UGGACAACUCUCCGAAAGGAGAGCUAAUACAGCAUGAUGGCGCGACUUUACGAAGUUGUGUCUAAAGCGGGCCUCUCCACGGAAGCUCGCGCUUGAGGAUGAGCCUGCGGCCCAUCAGCUAGUUGGUUGGGGUAAUGGCCCACCAAGGCUACGACGGGUAGCUGGUCUGAGAGGAUGAACAGCCACACUGGAACUGAGACACGGUCCAG
This 209-nucleotide ribosomal RNA is filed under the name uncultured bacterium. RNAcentral's name for it is "partial 16S ribosomal RNA". It matches the Rfam family "Bacterial small subunit ribosomal RNA", at positions 140 to 334 of the family's 1533-position model. The record is from RNAcentral.